This 454-nucleotide ribosomal RNA is filed under the name uncultured Clostridium sp. RNAcentral describes it as "bacterial SSU rRNA". It matches the Rfam family "Bacterial small subunit ribosomal RNA", at positions 929 to 1382 of the family's 1533-position model. Lineage: Bacteria; Bacillati; Bacillota; Clostridia; Eubacteriales; Clostridiaceae. The record is from RNAcentral.
GCGGUGGAUGAUGUGGAUUAAUUCGAUGCAACGCGAAAAACCUUACCUACCCUUGACAUGUCCGGAAUCCUGCAGAGAUGCGGGAGUGCCCGAAAGGGAAUCGGAACACAGGUGCUGCAUGGCUGUCGUCAGCUCGUGUCGUGAGAUGUUGGGUUAAGUCCCGCAACGAGCGCAACCCUUAUCGUUAGUUGCUACCAUUAAGUUGAGCACUCUAGCGAGACUGCCCGGGUUAACCGGGAGGAAGGUGGGGAUGACGUCAAAUCAUCAUGCCCCUUAUGUCUAGGGCUACACACGUGCUACAAUGGUGAGGACAAAGAGACGCAAGACCGCGAGGUGGAGCAAAUCUCACAAGCCUCAUCCCAGUUCGGAUUGCAGGCUGAAACUCGCCUGCAUGAAGCCGGAGUUGCUAGUAAUCGCGAAUCAGCAUGUCGCGGUGAAUACGUUCCCGGGCCUU